AACGGCCGUACCAUGCUGAAUAUACCGGUUCUCGUUAGAUCACCGAUCAUCAUUGGGCGCGGUCAGUACUUGGGUGGGUGACCACCUGGGAACACCGCGUGC
Molecule: ribosomal RNA, 102 nt
Filed under: Caerostris darwini
Lineage: Eukaryota; Metazoa; Arthropoda; Arachnida; Araneae; Araneidae
Source: RNAcentral